Molecule: ribosomal RNA, 450 nt
Filed under: uncultured bacterium
Lineage: Bacteria
Description: bacterial SSU rRNA
Rfam family: Bacterial small subunit ribosomal RNA
Source: RNAcentral
AUUGAACGCUGGCGGCAGGCCUAACACAUGCAAGUCGAACGAACCCGCAAGGGUGAGUGGCGAAAGGGUUAGUAAUACGAUCGAACGUACCCCGAGGUGGUGGAUAGCUGCGGGAAACUGCAGGUAAUACACCAUGAUCUCUACGGAGCAAAGUUUUAACGCCUUGGGAGCGGCGAUCGUCCUAUCAGGUAGUUGGUGGGGUAAAGGCCUACCAAGCCGAAGACGGGUAGCGGGUGUGAGAGCACGGCCCGCAACAUCGGAACUGAGACACUGUCCGGACUCCUACGGGAGGCUGCAGUAACGAAUCUUCCGCAAUGGGCGCAAGCCUGACGGAGCAAUGCCGCGUGUGGGAUGAAGCGUCUCUGACGUGUAAACCACUGUCAGGGGUUGGAACCAAUGAUCGACCCCAGAGGAAGUGGCGACUAACUCUGUGCCAGCAGCCGCGGUAAU